Molecule: ribosomal RNA, 380 nt
Filed under: uncultured eukaryote
Lineage: Eukaryota
Description: partial 18S ribosomal RNA
Rfam family: Eukaryotic small subunit ribosomal RNA
Source: RNAcentral
CAAUAGCGUAUAUUAAAGUUGUUGCGGUUAAAAAGCUCGUAGUUGGAUUUCUGUUGAGGACGGCCGGUCCGCACUAUGUGCGUGUAUCUGGUUCGGCCUUGGCAUCCUCUUGAGGAACGUAUCUGCGCUUGAUUGCGUGGAGCGGUAUUCAAGACUUUUACUUUGAGGAAAUUAGAGUGUUCACGGCAGGCAAGCGCCUUGAAUACGUUAGCAUGGAAUGAUAAUAUAGGAUCUUGGUUCUAUUUUGUUGGUUUCUAGAGCUAAGGUAAUGAUUAAUAGGGAUAAUUGGGGGCAUUUGUAUUAACGCGUCAGAGGUGGAAUUCUUGGAUUGCGUUACGACAAACUACUGCGAAAGCAUUUGCCAAGGAUGUUUUCAUUGA